This 482-nucleotide ribosomal RNA is filed under the name uncultured bacterium. Its description in RNAcentral is "partial 16S ribosomal RNA". It matches the Rfam family "Bacterial small subunit ribosomal RNA", at positions 30 to 507 of the family's 1533-position model. The record is from RNAcentral.
AUUGAACGCUGGCGGCAUGCCUUACACAUGCAAGUCGAACGGUAACAGGUCUUCGGAUGCUGACGAGUGGCGAACGGGUGAGUAAUACAUCGGAACGUGCCCGAUCGUGGGGGAUAACGGAGCGAAAGCUUUGCUAAUACCGCAUACGAUCUACGGAUGAAAGCAGGGGACCGCAAGGCCUUGCGCGGACGGAGCGGCCGAUGGCAGAUUAGGUAGUUGGUGGGAUAAAAGCUUACCAAGCCGACGAUCUGUAGCUGGUCUGAGAGGACGACCAGCCACACUGGAACUGAGACACGGCCCAGACUCCUACGGGAGGCAGCAGUGGGGAAUUUUGGACAAUGGGCGAAAGCCUGAUCCAGCCAUGCCGCGUGCAGGAUGAAGGCCUUCGGGUUGUAAACUGCUUUUGUACGGAACGAAAAGACUCUUUCUAAUAAAGAGGGUCCAUGACGGUACCGUAAGAAUAAGCACCGGCUAACUACGUG